This is a long non-coding RNA of Nothobranchius furzeri (turquoise killifish), 7400 nucleotides long. RefSeq lists it as uncharacterized. The record is from RefSeq and is a predicted model, not a curated record. Lineage: Eukaryota; Metazoa; Chordata; Actinopteri; Cyprinodontiformes; Nothobranchiidae.
CCCUGAGUUUUUGGUUGCAAUUCUGACACAACCCUUUCGGGUGGGUGGGACUUCUGAGAAGUCCUCUCCCAUAGGACAGAGGUUUCUCUUGAGUGACAGUUCAGUGACCUGGAAGUGAUGUAGCCUCCAAGACUUUUUUUUUUCUUGGUCAACAACAUGAAUUUUCAGCCCCAAACACAUUAUUUCUGCUGUCGGUGGUGUCUAUUGAGGAUCUAAAGAACCUGUGGAACAUCAGAGACUUUGCAGCUACUGGAGCUAACCUGUGUACUGCUAACGUGCUACAGAGGAAGCAGCAGAAAGCUGAGCUAACAGGCUGUUUUGCAGGUAAUCCUCGGGUGUCAGCAGGAGGAGGUGACCACCUGCAUAACGGAGCACCCUGGUUCUGAGCCAGUUGCACCUUUAAGCAGCUCUUUGGGGAGACGAUGCUCAGCAGACACAUGCCUCCGUGUGGUCAGGUGGUGUUGGUGUGAUCUGGGAGGGCACACUCAUGUCGUCAUCUCCUUGUGCCGUCUCCAGGAUCCUGAUGGGAGUUCUCUGUGCCUAUAAAGCAGGGGUAUUUACUUCUGGGCCUGGAAGGCCGAUAUCCAGCACGUUUUAGUUUUAACUCUGUUUCAACACACCUGAUUUCAGUCAGCAGAUAAUUAACAGGCUUCUGUAGAGCUGCUGCACAGGUAAUUCAACCACUGAUUCAAGUGUGUUGGAGCAGGGAAACAACUAAAACGUGCUGGAUACCAGCUAUAUGGAUGCUGCUAUAAUGCCUUCCUCCCUCCUCUGGAAUUUAAACAUUAGUAUUUUAUUAUGGUUUUCUGAUUUAGUAAAUAAAUCUCAAUUUAUAAAUUUCCUGUUUUGGUGCCUGUCCAUAAAAUCCUGCAUUAGACACUGAAAGCUGAAUGGAUGCCUUUCAUUCACUUUGACAUUCAAUGUAUUUUUAAAGAUACACUUGAAAUUAAUAUCAGCUGUUUAACAGAGUGGUGCAAAAUAAUUGCUAAUGUCAUGAUUUUUGCAAUAACCUGACCUUCAUGCAGAGAAACUCAGGAGACAAAUGAGCUAAAAACUGUUUUUUAAAAUGUUUGACGGAUGACUGAAGAGGUAACUGCUGGAGAUCAGGAACCAGAAGCUCCUGCAAGGAAGAGCAGAGGUUAGUAAGGGAAACAGGUCAGGUUUUUCUUAAGACUGUGCAGGUAGCUUACAGAAACUGAGAAACGCCACGGAGAUGGAGCCACAGGUUUUAGUGUUUAAAGAUCAGAAGGCCCUGAGGUAAAAUUGAGUGUUAGUAAUGACUAAAGAGAGACUUAGAAAAGGAAAAGUUUAGAUACUUACGGUCUGAAGUUGUAGCGCAGACGGGAGACAGCAGAAUGGUGGAGAAACAACCAGAAGUCUGGGAGAAUGACAGCAUGAGUUGCAAGCGGGUGAGCAGAAGGUAGUGGGUAAGCCGACUGCCAGUAUGUUUGUGUGAUCAGGAGCUUCAAGGAAAGAAUUUCCAUAGAUCUGCAUAGAAAAUGAGAACGUAAGUUUGAAAAAACGGCAGAGUCAUGGGCUAGAUAUGGGUUAAAACACUGAUAAGUGACCAGCUACCAGCUUUUAUUCAAAGAUGGGGUUACAGUUGUGUGAGGAUGUGCCUGCCCCAUGAGAAGAGUUUUCAGGUAAGCCUCUCCAUGGUGCUCUGCAAUGGUGACUAGCAAGGCUAAUGAAGAGAUUAAAGGGAACACAAACCCAGGACUCAGAUCCAAACUCCUAACAGCAACACGACGACUCCUCCCACAGGCGGUUGUUCCACGGGAGUACAGUCACACGCAGCUGCCUGAAGUUCAGCAUCAGGAAACCUGUAGGUGAUGUAAUCACACGUGGCUUCUGAGCAUGCAAGUUUAUUCUAGCUGUACAGCGUAAAAUAAUAAUAAAGAUUUAUAUUGUGUUGUGUUGCUCACCUUGCAGGUUCUUUUAAAAUCUUAACCUGUGCCUGCUUACAGCAGGUCUUUCAGGUCUUUUGAACUAGACACAGAGAGGUUCAGGCACAGGUACUUAGUCAGACUCCUGAUAUGGUAGAGCAUCCACCACCACAGACUCCUGAUAUGGUAGAGCAGUGGUUCCCAAACUUAUUUAGCCACGCACCCCCUUCUAUGUCCCGACCAUGUUGACGCACCCCCCACAUCGGGGCAUGGCUUUCUCUCUCUCUCUCCCUCCCUCUAUAUAUAUCAGAUGUCAAGCUAAACAGACAGGGUUAAAAAAAUUCCCCAUCACUUUCAUUUUUUUAAAUAGUAAUUAAUAAACAUUCGAUACCAUUACAAUUUUCUUUGAUUUCAUUUUAAAUAAAUAUUUAGAGUGCACAGGUAGCACAUAAACAAUGCAAUUUAACGGUUUUCUUAAAGUAGGAACGUUUAACCUGUGCGGCCAGAGCGCUCUCCUUCCUUCUGCUCUGCAUAAACCUGAGCUGAUCACCUACUUGUGCGUAAUCAAAUGUCAAUAGGGGACAAGAUAUAGCCAUGAUGUUCACUUUUACCUCAGACCGACGUAUUGCUGUUUUAUGGUGUGGCUGAAUCUGUGAUCCGCUGCCACGCUGACUGGAAUAACAAAUGCUGCAGUAACAUGAGAUGUGGUCAGGUUCAUGAGGAGUCACUGGCUGGAGCGGACCCGACUCAUCCCAGAAGCUAAUAUCUUAAUUUGACCUUGAAUGAAAAAUAACCUCUUAAAAGUUUUUAUCACGGUGGAGGCAGCGUUCAUUUCUGCCUUCAGUCUGACAGCGCGCCGGAGUUAAAGCAGCGUGUGCGCUUAUUGAGUCUGUGUGUGUGUGCGCGCGCGUGCACGGCCGCUCAAGUCACCGCGUCUCGCGCUAUUUAAACCAAUGUUGUAAAAUGACUUCUGCCCAGCCCAGAUGUGCUCACUUGUGCACCCGUGAGCCGUGGUUCAGCCGGUGUCGGUACAGUAUCUGCUCGGGUGCAAGAUCGGCUCGGGGUCCUUCGACUGCCGAUGACGUCAAAGUACGGCAAACCCACUCGGACAAAAUACACUACACAUCUAUACUGUUGGAAAGAAUUUAGCAGUUUCGUUAUUAAAAUAAUGUUUCUUAAGACGUAAGUUUGUGUUUAUAAAGGUAUUUGUAAAAUAAAACACUAUUUAAUUCAUAAUGUUGAACUCCUCUUUGAGCACAUCCCUUGAAGAAUCAUAGGUAUUCGCAACACCUGUGAAAUUGUAUUUGCAGGAAAGAAGUGUGUCCCGUUUAUUUAAGUAUUUUGUGUUUAGCGUUUUUGACGUCUUGUCCAUGAGUAGUUCAGUUACGCUCAUAGCUGCUAGCAUAAACUCUGGAGUUAAAAGUUUUCUGGCUUUACUAAAAUACCUGUCUGUACUUAUUUGAUUGAUGGUAUUUUUACUUUCUAUUAGACUCCAAAUGUAAUCAUUUGGCACGUUUCUAAUUCAUUAUUUGCAAUAAUGUAAUCGGCGAUAUUAGCAUUAGCAUUCCUAUGGGUUUUUACAUGUAUAUUAGCAUUGCGCUAACCACUCGCUGCCAAAUUGCAGCCUUUGAGAUUAUAAAAUCUCCUGGCUUUACUAAAGCCAGGAUCUGUCUGUACUUAUUUGAUUGAUGGUAUUUUUACUUUCUAUUAGACUCCAAAUGUAAUCAUUUGGCACGUUUCUAAUUCAUAAUUUGUAAUAAUGUAAUCGGCGAUAUUAGCAUUAGCAUUCCUAUGGGUUUUUGUAUAUUAGCAUUGCGCUAACCACUCGCUGCCAAAUUGCAGCCUUUGAGAUUAGAAAAUCUCCUUUUGUCACAUCGCAAUUUAAUUGCACAUGCAGUUAAUCGUUCAGCCCUAAUAUACAUGCAGCUCUAUGCUAAAAGUGUAUUUUCAAAGAGGUAAUGAUGGAUUUCUUUGUAAAAGUUGUCCAUCUUUCCAAUAGAAAGAUUUGCCUGGACCAACGUAACGUGAUAACAACGUAAUGUGAUUACGUAAUUCCGUCAGGUUCAUGUUCAGCCAAUCAACUACUUAGACGUCAUCGGCAGUCGACGGACCCCGAGCCGAUCUUGCACCCGAGCAGAUCCUGUACCGACACCGGAACGCGUCUGACCUCUGACAGACGCACUCUGAACUUCAGAUCUUCAGCGCGCUGUCAAUAGCCUGAAUGGGAAUCAUUUCUUGUUAUUUUGUUACAUCCACAAUGUUCUGUGUGUGAGGUUUACAAUGUCAGAACACCUGCAUGAGACAGGUGUUAAUUACAAUCUGCCAGAAUGACUCACCACCUUCAGAUUCCUCCAACACCAUUAAAAAUGAUCAAAUACGGAACAUAUCAGCGUGCGCAGGCCAGAGUGCUGAAGCUCGGCGCAUUGUUAUUAUUAUGAAGUUAGGGCAAAUGUGGAGGACACGCACGCGCGCGACGGAACAUAUCGGCGUGCGCAGGCCAGAGUGCUGAAGCUCGGCGCAUUGUUAUUAUGAAGCUAUGGCACUUGUGGAGGACACGCGCGCGCGCGCGCAAAAAUAUACUUGUUUUCAAUUACAUUUAUUGUGCCCACUUACUUUUUCUUUGGCCCACCCACAAAUGAGUUUCUACGCUAAUGGUGACAUAUGACAGACUUCUCUGAGCUCCGCAGCCAUUACACUUUUCACCUCGCGCACCCCCUAGCGGCAGCUCGCGCACCCCCAGGGGUGCGCGCACCACACUUUGGAAAUCCCUGUGGUAGAGCAUCCACCACCACAGACUCCUGAUAUGCAAGGCCGGAUUAACCAUACGGGCAACUGGGCAAUUGCCCAGGGCCCCACGAACUCUAAAGGGCCCAGGCCCCAGGCCCAGGGCAGCAAGAGCACGAGCAAAAUACUGUAUCUGUAAUCUCCCGCUUUAUAUUAAACUAGGGUGACCAUACGUCCUCUUUUCCCCGGACAUGUCCACUUUUCACACUCUGUGUGUGUGUGUGUGGGGGGGCUUCAUCCAGGAGCAGGGAUCGAAUUAUGGGAGAGCUGGAUGUCCUACAUCCAGGGGAGCUGGAAAAAACGUUUCCUAGCUAUAUUACAUCAUUCAUGGACUCUUGAGCAGAGAGCACAGAGAGCGUCUACUCUCUGAGAGUCACGUGACGUCCGGAGCUCUAUAGCGAUGAUCGUUGGUGUUCAGCAGGGCCGGAGUGGGACACAUUUUCAGCCCUGGAGUUUCAGACCCCAGACCGGCCCACUUAACGAAUUAUUAUUAAAAUCAUGUUAGAACUUUAUAUGUAUAGUCUACAAAAGCACACUACUCGGUAAAGCCUUGUAAUUGUAAAGCAAGAAAGAGUUGAAAGAGUUGAGUUGCUUUACAAGAAAGAGCAACUCUUUCUUGUAAAGCAAGAAAGAGUUGCUUUACAAUGUAGGUUUAUUUGAACAUCAGUGCACAUCUCCAACAUUGUUCUUUACAACACAUUCUCUAACAAUAUAGCAAUCUACAUUCUGUUCAAACAGCUGUUCUGAGAUUUUCAAACCUUUAAAAUGAAAUGACUCAGCACUCCCUUUCACACUUUUUCCAGUUUCCCUAGACUCACCUGCACACAAUUAAAAUAAUCAUCUGUAAAGCUUUGGCACAUUUGAUAUGGAAAACACAUCUUUGUAACCAAUUAAAAUAUUUUCUAUGGCAAAAUAUGCAGGCUUAUUUAAUUUUACUUUCAUUCUAAUAACGAUCUGUUGUGGGCUUUGUGCAUUUACUAACAGAAAUACAUCAGGUCACUACUAUUAUUUGGGCAUUAAAAUUAUUAUAAUGAAACUGAUGUUUGCUUGUUUGCACAUGAGUUGGCUCACCUUCUAUCCCAACAGGAGCAAUACCCUCACUGCUGGCUCCUGGCUCUUCUUCUGACACUACAUUGUGUGAAAAUUGUCACAAUUCAGCAUUCAUUUUCCUUUUUUACAUGCUUUCUGAUCAAUGCUGAAUCAUCUAGCAUUUUAGGACACUUUCAUAUAGAGCCAGGAUAGUUUUCAUCAUAUAAAUUUUAAUAAUAUUCAGUUCACUGACUCAAUAAGUAAUCCUACCUGUACAUGCCCGCUCUGGAAUUGUGGGUUUCUGCCUGGUGCUUAUUAGGCCUACAGGAUCUUGUGUUUGACUCUGACAAGACAGUUUGGUGGCAUCAGUCACAUCAUACUGUAAAUUAUAUUACAUAACGUUAUGUCAUGAUGCCAUAUAAUUCAUUAUUGAUGCUUAAUUAACUUGAAUGGUGAUUUGCAGCCGGUAAAGUUUAACAUCUUGACUUGCCUUACCCGUUUUAUCUUCAUUUGAAGUUAAAGACCGCAAGCUUGUUUGAGAAAAAAAGGUGCUCAUUUUUGCACAUUUAGCUGCAUCCAGGGCCAGAUUAAGACUUCGUUGUACCCUGGGCAACAAUAUUCAAGGGCCCCAUCAUCACGACCCAAGGAUCACCAUAAUAUGGUCACAUACAGAAUAUUUUACUGUAAUAUGCAGUAAAUAUACUCAAUGCUUGAAUGCCUGACAUCACGUAACCCGCUCAGGGUAACCUUUGACCCACCUUGUGUGGACUGACCAAUGAGGAGAGGGUCUUAACUUGAGGCCCUCUCUUCAUUGGUCAGUCUGCAUGAGACUGACUCUCAACUGACGUUUAGUCAUAGGCAGCGAAGCGUCUGUGCAGCACAAAAGCCCGGGUGGACAGUUUGUUUAGUACAGGGUGAUCAUAUUUCCAUUUCCAAACAAGAGGACAGGGGAUCUGUGCCUAUGACGUCACACUAUGGCAACACCACACAAACCACGUUGGGACCCAUUUUCUUGUAAGAACUAAAUUAAUAUCAGAUUCUGCCAAUAAAAGGGCUCUAAAACAAUUCAUAUGUAAAUAUUUAGCAUAUGUAUUGCAAAAUCUCAUUUUUCUGCUUUAGUGCUGCAACAAGGUUUUAAUAAUAAUAAAUUAUUAUAACUUUUGUUUUACUACAGCAUCGGUACGCUUCCUGUGCACAGAUUAUUAAGGGUGCUUGUUUCAGCUGUGAGAUUAGACGAUAGGAUCAAUGAUAAAAUAAGUUGUCACACACUCCAUGGAAACUUUCAGAGAAUCCACAAAUAGUGGCUUUCAAUUUCAUCUGAUAAUAUUAGAACAUGUCAGUAAUGUCUGAGGAGCUUUUAUAAACACUGGAUAACUAACAAUACUGGAGAGGGUAACAAUUACACAGAGGCUUCUGGGGAGCCCAGUUAUGGGGUGGGUGGGGGGGGGGGUCAUUUUGCCUUGGCCCCCAAAAUGUCUUGAAACGGCCCUGGGUGUGUGACUGAGUUUUGAAGGUGAUUUGAAUUGUAUCAGAUGUAUAACUAUGACAUGUGUAUAACUUAUUGUUUUAUACUGGUAAAAACUUGUAGUGGAGAUAAAUCUACCUACAUUUUACUUUACACUUAGUUUUGUUUUCUUGUUUUUAUUGAACUAUUUCCUGUCCUGUCUGUCUCUCGUCUUCCUGCGUCUCCUCUAAACUCUC